Molecule: small nuclear RNA, 106 nt
Organism: Erinaceus europaeus (western European hedgehog)
Lineage: Eukaryota; Metazoa; Chordata; Mammalia; Eulipotyphla; Erinaceidae
Source: Ensembl
GUGCUCCCUCUGGCAGCACAUCUGCUAAAAUUGGACUCUGUGGAGAAGACUAGCAUGGCUCCUAUGUAAGGAUGAUAUGCAAAAUCAUGAAGAAGCUCGUUUUAAA